RNA transcript from Myxocyprinus asiaticus (Chinese sucker), 7681 nucleotides. It is a transcript of the gene named NAD kinase-like, with no coding region annotated. Lineage: Eukaryota; Metazoa; Chordata; Actinopteri; Cypriniformes; Catostomidae. The record is from RefSeq and is a predicted model, not a curated record. The transcript is spliced from 7 exons.
UUUUAAUCUACUACACAACCACCACUCCUAUUGUAUAAACAUUGUAUAAACUUUAUUGCCAGACAUUGUCACCUAUCUCUCAUUUACAUUUGCAUUUAUUAAUUUAGCAGAUGCUUUUAUUCAAAGCGACUUACAAAUGAGGAACAUUGCAAGCAAUUUGUCGUAAGAGCCAACAGUAUUUGUAUUACACAAUGCCAAGUGUAAGCAAGAUUAGUACACUAGCUAGAGCAGAGUUGAAUUGCAGAAAAGAAGAGAAAGAAGACGAGUUUAAAUAGUAAGUGCCUUUAUUUAUGGUUAUGGAUUGGUCACAAGGGAAGAGCUGUGUCUUCAAGUUUUUCUUGAAAGUAGUGAUGAUCUCAACAGAUCGGGUGGAGGAUGGCAGUUCGUUCCACCAAAGAGGAACAGAGAAAGCUUUUGGAAAGCAGCUUGGUGCCUCAUUGUGAGGGAACAACCAGGCGCUGCUCAUUCACUGACUGUAAAUUGUGGGAGGGAACAUACACUUGUACAAGUGUAUUGAGGUAGGAGGGUGCUAUUCCAGUGGCCGUCCAGAAUGCCAGCAUUAAAGCCUUGAAUUUGAUGCGGGCGGCUACAGGUAGCCAUUGGAGUGAGACCAAGAGGUGUAUGUGCCCUCUUUGAUUGACUGAAGACCAGACGCGAUGCCACGUUCUAUCACCUAUGACCUAUCUCUGUCACUUUUGAAGGAAUAAUAAUAAUAAAAAAUAUGUCAUUAUUUUCUCACCAUUAUCAGUUUUUCCCACAGAUUUCUGUUUUUGCUGUGGGGGGAGACCUGGAACUGAUUCAAACCAAUAACAUGUAAACCUUUUAAUUUUCAUUGUGCAUCACACAACACAGUGGAAAGACGAGUUGUCUUGAUGAGUUGCUGGAAAUUCAGCAGCGAUGGUGUAUUUUCAGCAGCGUCAUAUGUAAUGUUUAGCCGGAGACUAUUUUGGUAUAGUGCUGUGGGAAACACUGAAUUAUGUUGCUUUAAUCCUGUAUAACUUUCUUUCUUCCUCAGAACACAAAAGGAGGUAUUUAAAAAAAGUCAUGUUUGUUCUUGUCCAUACAAUAGCAGUGGACAGUGACAGUCUCGAUUCAAGCUUCAAAAUGAUACAAAAAUAUCAAAAAAGUAUUCCAAACUACCCGGGUCUUGAGUGCUCUAAAGACAUAGGAUAGGGUUUGGAGUGAACAAAGCACGUGAAUAGGAGGUAGAGAAGAUUUUCACUAAAUAAUGAUUUAAAUUUGUAUAUAUACUCUAUAGUACUUGGAUUAUAAAAAAUGAGUCACUUAAAAAAUUUAUUAUAUUUUUGUGUCCUUUUGAAGCUUGAAAACAGACAUGUUUUUUCAAAGAAAAAAAAACAAUGCAGGUUUAGAUCAAAAUGAGUGUGAGUAAAUGAUGAUAUAAUUUUUAUGUUUGGGUGUACUAUCCCUUCAAAAGUGAACCUUAGAGAUAGGUGACAAAAUCUGGCAAUACAUUUUAUCAUGUUUUAAUUUUUGAACUGUUUGUAUUAUUAUUAUUUUUUACAUAACCUCAUGCUCUUUGUGGAAAUCAAUGUUUGUACAGCACCAAAAUAUGAGAAUUAGUCAUUGAGAGAACUAUUUUUCUGUUUAUUUUAAAGUGUGACAAGACUAUAAAAAAAAAAAAAAGACAGUAGUCCAAACCAUGCAAAAAAGGAAAGAAAGAGAGAGAGAAAAAAAAAGGUUGUCCAGAGCAAUUUUGACUCUAGAGAUGAAUAUAUCCCCAUGGCUCUGCACAAGGAGCUGCAAGACAAAUAUUAUAACGUCAAAAAAAGGAUGCGAGAUGGCCAAUGAGGAAAAAGAAAAAGCAAUAAAAUGUUUAAAAGAAGAGAAAAGGGAGAUGAAGGCUGAACUGCAGCAACUAAGGCAGUUAAACCUCCAUCUCCAAGAGGAGCUCUUCCAAAACAAAAAAAAUACAGUAACACAAAUGGAGCCACAACCCACUUCUGCAGACCACACUCCACUCCCACUGCAGCCAGUUCAUGGUCCAGAAGAACAUAAGCUUGAAGAGCAGACUGUUAUGAAAGGACAGGGGGGUGACAAGCUGUCAAAUGACCAUGAUCCUAACUGGCAGAAAAUUUCAGCUUGUACUGCCAUUAAUGGAAUUUACUUGCCAUUAAGGCAGUGGAAUACCUGAUCCCAACUGGCAGAAAAUAUUGACCGCAGCAACAGAGUGCCACUUCACCCACAAAAAGUGGUGCCUUUCGAUAUAUGAUUAAAGAUAUGUGAGGUAAAUUUACACUGUAUUGCCUGGAACCUUUUGCACCUGAUGCCUUCAUUUAGCAAUGUAUUUUGACUGUACUGCCACGCAAAGGAUUUCAUCUUUUCAGAUGAAAUAGAUUUAUAAUACAUAUUUUCAUAUCACUACUUCAGCUCUAUUAAAUUUGUCAUGCUACAUUAGGGGAGUGAGAGAAUAUAAUACAUGUUUGUUUCAACUUUUAAAUGUUUAUAUUUUGUAUUUUUUUUUUUCUUUUUUUUUUUUUACAUGUUCAGAGUAGGUCUACUGUUUAUAAUUACAAAAAUGCCAUAAUUUGUUUUAUAGAAAUCAUGUUACAUCUAACCACAGUAGUGAAGAUGAUCCAUGCUUCCAUGUGCUUACUAUGGUCUUGUUACAAAUACCACUUUUAAAAACAAUUAAAAAACAAAAUACAUUAAAAUUUAAGGGCAAAUGCAAAAUCCACUAUUUGUUUAGAUUAAAUAUAAAUGCGUAAAUCCUAAAACAAAAUAGGCAAAAAUAUUUUUGUUUGUAAAAAAAAUAAAAAAAUAACUGAUUUUGUUUGCCUUCAGAAAUUCCAAGAGAUUAAUCAUUUGAAUCAAUAAGAACACUGUAAUAAUAAUAACAAUAAUAAUAAUCCUGUUGUUUUUACAAAAACAAAAAAAGGACAACCUGUACAGUUUAACACUGUUGUAGUUUACAUGACCACAAUGGCACUGUAAUUUUUUUUACAGUAAUUCUGUAAUUAAAAAUUCUGUUAAAUUUACAGUAAAAAAAACAUCAAACUUGAUAUAUACCUUCUGAAACUGUAAGAAUCUGCUUUUUACUUUAUAAGGGAUUGUUAAUCACCGUAAAAAUUACAGAAGAGCACAUGAUGACAUGAAGUUCACCAAUAGUUCCAGAAGCAAUGACCAAUAACAUGUAGAGACAGUGCUCAGUGUCACUCACACAAACACUAAACACCAUCAGGGUAACACAUGUGAAAUUUAAAUAAUGCAGUAAACAUUAACUAAACUACAUCAAAUAUAAAAAAAAUAUUAAAAAUAAGAAGAAACAUAACUAUUCCCAUAAAAUAUAAUGAAAUAUGAUGGGUCAUGCAGGGAAUUGUGGGAAUGCCCAAUUAUUGUUUUUCACUGUAAUUUUAACAAUACGGUAAAAACUACAUGUACUCUCUUGUUAAACAUAAUGUAAAUUUUUACCAUUAAAUUAUUUUUUAAAAAAAUUUACAUUUUAUUGUAAAAACUACUGUAUUGUAUUUUGAAAUUUAUAUAUAAAAAAAUUACUGUAUAUUUUAGUUAAUAUCGUUAUCAUUAAAAUUAGACAUUUUUUUACAGUGAACCUGAUGAAAGGAGUUCCAACUUAGUCACACUGUCAGAAUAAUUUAGCCGCAUAAAUUAGGUGUUAACUUUUUACUUUUAAUAGAUGUUAAUGUAACAAAAAGGUCUCUUGCUUAUUGGAAAGGAGGCGGCGGGAACCGGAUGAACAAUCACAAAGACUUUUAAUCAGACACAACACAAACACUGACGCACACACACAACUCCACGUGCAUCUCUCUCUUUCUCUCUCUCUCUCAAACUGGCAUCUCAGGCUCCUCUUUAUCCCUCUCCCGGCUGAUUGGGACGAUUCAGCACCUGGCGUCGCUGAAGGAGGUGUACCAGCUGGCUGAGGACCGGGUCCCAGAUAUAGCCCUCCAUCUGCAUAAAUUUAAGAAAUGCAAGGUUUGGACUCACAUUCAUGACGCAUAAGCCUGCUGAAUUUAUUAACACAACUUUAAAAUUCUGCAAUGAAUCGAAGUUGCAUCGAGCAAAUGAAGCAAAUAAAAAAAAAAAGAGUUUUGUGUUUUAUGGUUUUUUCUCUUUUAUUUUGGUAGCACAAAGUCUCCACUUUCAAAUUAUGUCACAUCUGGCACCAAACAUCAUACCAUCUGGCACCAACAAUAAUGCCACAGUCCAAAUCACUGAGAUCACAUUUUUCCCCAUUCUGAUGGUUGAUGUGAACCUUAACUGAAGCUCCUGUCCCACAUCUGCAUGAUUUUAUGGACUGCACUGCUGCCACACAAUUGGCUGAUUAGAUAAUCGCAUUAAUGAUUGUUGGUGCCAUAUGGGCUGGUUUGAGUAUUACUGUAACUGCUGAUCUCCUGGGAUUUUCACACACAACAGUCUCUAGAAUCUACUUUGAAUGGUGCCAAAAACAAAAAACAUCCAAUGAGCGGCAGUUCUGUGUACGAAAACGCCUUGUUGAUGAGAGAGGUCAACAGAGAAUGGUCAGACUGGUUCAAACUGACAAAGUCUACGGUAACUCAGAUAACCGCUCUUUACAAUUGUGAUGAGAAGAAUAUCAUCCCAGAAUGCUAUUAUGAUAUGCAGGUUGGCACUGUUUUGGCGGCACGAGGGAGACCUACACAAUAUUAGGCAGGUGGUAUUAAUGUUGUGGCUGAUCGGUGUAUUAUGGGCAGUGUUGGGUGUAAAGCUUUUAUAAAGUAAUUUGUUUUUGAAUAAAAAUUAUUGUAAUCAGAUUAUCGUUUCUCAUUUUCAGUUAUGUUCAAAUUACAUUAGACCUAUAGGUUUAUACAUUACUAAAGUAAUUAAUGUCUCAAGAUUAAAGUCAAUAUAAUGCAAGAUUUAGUGAAGUCAUGUUUAGAGUAAAAUGUUGACAAAAAUUAUUCAUUACCAAAAUGUAAGUGAACCGCGAGCGAUUCACCAAUCCACUUAUAUUUGAGCUUUGGAUUGUCCAAUUCGUUUUAGUGAAUCGGUUUGUUUGUACGAUUCAUAUACUGUAAACGAACCAAUUCAAAUAAAUUAUUCACUUACUUGAGCCCAUGCGUGGAGUUCCCUACGUCUUCUUUUUUGAAGUAGAAUAUUUAUGUAAUUGCUGCUCUUUAACUAUAUUUUUUGAAUCUUUAGUUAAAAAAAUAUUAAAGUUAAAUAUUAAAGGGUUUGCUUAAUUGUAGCCAAUAUGUAAUAAAUUAAUGUUCAGGUUAGCACACUCAAAAAAUAUUAUAUAUAAUAGUAUAUAAUAUUUGUAACAAAUGUUCACAGAAAAGGAGGAAGCGGGAGGUGGCAAAUCCAACUCAAAUGGUAUCUUUUAUUUCUUUAAACUCAAUAUUCACGCUUUUCAGCAGUCACACUCAGAACUAUGCUUUUCAGCAGACAUAUAUCACUUCAGUCUUUCUCCAGCUCAUGUCUCAUAUCUCUCUUCUGACUAGCGUCUGGCUCGCUUUUAAAGCCCGUCUCCACUCUCGCUGCAACGACAAACAUCUUUUAGAGACAAUCAUUGCCAGUCGAUGAUCCUUACCGUUCUCAUCUCCUGAUCUCGCUCUCCAUUCACAAACCGGCACUUAACCAUGCCCCCACCACCACAAUAUUAUAUAGUAUAAUAUUAUAUAUUAUUAUAUAAUGCUCAAAUACUUUUUCUCCCGAGAAUUGUUAAGGGCCAAUCGGCAGAAAUGGGAAACCAUUUCAUACUCUGGGUAAGGUCUAAACUGUGAAUGCUAGCACUCAGAUUGUCAUGAAAUGCUCAUUUUUGGUUAUAAAUGAAUUCAAUCUUUUUUGUUGUUGUUGUUAUUUUGAAGGUUUUUGAUGUCCAAGCAAAAGAGGUAUGUUUUUUUGAUUCAGUGAGUAUCUACAUGAACACUUUUAUAGAGACGGAAGACAGAUAUUCUGAAGUAAUUCAGUUUCACCAAUUUACUAUUAUCUCAAUAAUCAAUCAUUUGUUUUUAUGGUAAUAAUAUUUUGAUCAUGUGGAAGAUGCACAUCUUUCACUCAUUGCUGCUUGUGAACAAAAAUAAAUAGAGAGGCUUUUAAAGAAAAGGGUCACUGGAAGGCUAUACUGUUUGCAAUCCAAAGCAGUGGAUGCAAGGCGAUGGUGUGAACUGUUUUAUUUGCACUGUAAGUUUAUUUCUCAGUAUUUUAUUUAUUUAUUUUUUCUGUAAAUGUGGUCUUUUUAGUUGGAAUCAAGUUCUAUUUUAUUACCUGUUAAAGGCAGCCGAAAUGGAAGCCAAACACAUAAAAAUGUUGUCUGAUGUUCGUGCAAGUCAGCUAAUACAUCUACGUGUGUUUCCCGUACUACAAGCAUGUUGAAAAAGAUGUGGCAAUUAAAGUAAGACAAAAAGGUGUGAAGAUUACAUAAUGAAAGAAAAUAUCAGAUUAAUGCUCACAUUUACUACCUGACAGGACUUUUCAAUUGAAACGAGAGAAAAAGAAAACUGUGAAAUAAAAAGCAACACCUGCAUGGCCCAGGACAUAAAGGCCUGUGAAAUUACGAACAAGCUGCUAGAUGACAAUCAGUCAGGCUUCAAAAGUGAGACUGCCCUGCUGUCUGUCACUGAGUAACUGAGACAGGCGAAAGCUGAAUCCAGAUCAUUUCUGCAGCCUUUGACAGUCAACCAUAAGAUCUUACUCUCCACCCUCUGUUCGCUGGGCAUCACAGGAACUAUGCUUGACUGGUUUAAUUCCUAUCUCACAGCCCAACAACACCACAGUGACUGCUCGAAUCUCUGCCUGCCUGGCAGACAUCUCAGCCUGGAUGAAGGAACACCACCUGCAACUUAACCCAGCCAAGACCGAACUCCUUGUUUUUCCAGCCAACCCUGCUGUUGAACACAACAUCACCAUGCAGCUGGGUGCAACUACAGUAACGCAUUCCAAAAUGGUCAGAAAUCUAGGGGUAACCAUCAAUAACAAACAAAAUUUCACAGACCACAUCUCAAAGACCGCAAGAUCAUGUAGAUUUACACUCUACAAUAUCAGGAAGAUAAGACCCUUCCUCUCUGAACAUGCCACACAACUUCUUGUUCAGUCACUUGUCAUAACUAGACUGGACUACUGUGAUGCUCUCAUUGCAGGCCUACCUGCAUGUGCAAUUAGACCCCUGCAAAUGAUCCAGAAUGCAGCAGCAUGUCUGGUCUUUAAUCAAAGAGAGCGCAUGUUACACCACUCCUUGUCUCUCUUCACUGGCUGCUGGUUGAUGCAGGUAUCAAGUUCAAGGCUCUGAUGCUGGCAUACAAAACAGUCACUGGGUCUGCUCCAGCAUACCUAAAAUCAUUUCUGCAGAGCUACACGUCCACUAGAAGCCUGCGGUUGGCUAAGGAACUUCGCUUUGUUGUACCAACACAAAGAGGCACCAAAACACUUUUUCCGGACUUUCGGCUUCAUCAUACCACGUUGGUGGAAUGACUUUCCCAACUCCAUCCGUGAAGCUGACUCACUUCAAAAAGCUGCUAAAAACACAUCUUUUCCAUGAGCACUUAACCAGUCACUAAAAAAAAAAGAAAAAAUGUCCUUGUUGCACUUUAAUCUGUUUUGAAUGCUAUUCUGAUGCUAGUGAAACUUUGUAAUAUGGCACUUUUCAUUCCACUGUCUCCUUAAAAUGAUUCGCUUAUGUUUUUCCUCUUUUGUAAGUCACUUUGGAUAAAAGUGUCUGCCAAAUGAAUAAAUGUAAAUGUAAAUGCAA